UGACGAAACACACGAGCAGAGGGACGACAAAUCAAAACAAAGUCACAACCCAAAUUUAUGAGCACAAGUUGGUCAGGGAAAAGAAAGUGGAGUGAUUUUCGGAUAAUUAGGAGGAAGUUUGAGGAUUAGGAUUUUGAUUUAGAAUCGAGGAUUCGGGAGAGGAGUUUGUGGGCCGGGUGAACAACAAGUAGACGGACACAAAUUCGAACCACACGCGGAUAAAUCCGGGUGGUGAUUCACGGAGGGAGGACAAGACGGUUUAGGACGGAACAGGACAGAACCGCUGUCUUUGUACGACUACAACACAAACGUAGAACACAAAUCCGGAUCGGGUUGGACGGAAAACAGGAAACAAACAAAUUCUUUGAUCUGCCUUAAAUAAAUUGGGCUGAUUCGCAAGGAGGUUUAUUUCCGUUGGCGUCCAGAACAACAUGAAUCCCAAAUUUCUCUCACAAUUUGAUUUUCAAAACGAGUUAUAGAAAGUCUGUUUCUUUUAAGAAUAGUAGCUGAUUAAAAAACCGUAAAUCAUAGAAGGCAAAAUCACCGUUUUAUACAUAAGUUUACCUAGACGCCAAGUAGGUUUAUAACGUUUACAAAAAGCUAUAACCAUUUUUGCAAUUUUCAUUGUGGAUGAACAACGGAUACGUGUGGUCAAUGGCCUUGCUAAAUCAGUCGUUAAAUAACUACCCAGAUACCUCAAUUUGUCUACAACAGGGAAUGGUUCAUUGUCUAACAAAAGGCUAUUAGGAGUAAUGCAAUCUUUAGACGGAUGUCUGAUAAGAAUAUUACUUUUAUCUUUAUUGAUUUCUAAUCCUACACGUGCAAAAGCCAUUUUCAAAUGUUUGAUUAUUAGAUCAAGAUCUCUAACACUAUUCGUAAUUACCAAAAGGUCAUCAGCAAAAGCUAGGAUAAUAGGCAGCUUCAUAUUGUUUUGAUCUAAUAAAUUCAGUUUCUUAAUUAUUUUUUUAACCUCAAUCAGAACCCACUGUAUUAUUAAAAUGAAAAGAAACGGAGACAUACUGCAACCUUGCUUAAUGCCCCUAUUUUUAACAAAUUCAAUUUAAAUGUGCUAAU
This is a long non-coding RNA of Culex quinquefasciatus (southern house mosquito), 1074 nucleotides long. RefSeq lists it as uncharacterized. The record is from RefSeq and is a predicted model, not a curated record. Lineage: Eukaryota; Metazoa; Arthropoda; Insecta; Diptera; Culicidae. The transcript has 4 exons.